This is a long non-coding RNA of Homo sapiens (human), 324 nucleotides long. RefSeq lists it as uncharacterized. The record is from RefSeq and is a predicted model, not a curated record. Lineage: Eukaryota; Metazoa; Chordata; Mammalia; Primates; Hominidae. The transcript has 2 exons.
GGUGGCUUCCAGACGCUUCUGAGUACUGACAACAGUGUGCUCUGCUGCCAAGGCAUCCUGCCUCCCUAUGGAGAACAUGGAGUAGUCAUUUAAUACCUGCCACCCAAGGGACUGGAUGGAAGAAGGGCAGGCUUCAGAGGAUUUAUACUCUGAAGACAGUUAUGUUUGAUCUGAAAAUGAAAAAGUGGUGGGGAACCAGCACAAAGGCACUGUGUAUAAAUCAGGAAACAAGCCCUCACCAGAUACCAAGUCUACUGGCACCUUGAUCUUGGACUUCCCAUCCUCCAGAACUGUGAGAAAUAAAUUUCUGUUGUUUAUAAGUCA